AUUGAACGCUGGCGGCAUGCCUUACACAUGCAAGUCGAACGGUAACGCGGGGCAACCUGGCGACGAGUGGCGAACGGGUGAGUAAUACAUCGGAACGUGCCCAGUAGUGGGGGAUAGCCCGGCGAAAGCCGGAUUAAUACCGCAUACGACCUACGGGUGAAAGCGGGGGAUCGCAAGACCUCGCGCUAUUGGAGCGGCCGAUGUCAGAUUAGCUAGUUGGUGGGGUAAAGGCCUACCAAGGCGACGAUCUGUAGCUGGUCUGAGAGGACGACCAGCCACACUGGGACUGAGACACGGCCCAGACUCCGACGGGAGGCAGCAGUGGGGAAUUUUGGACAAUGGGGGCAACCCUGAUCCAGCCAUGCCGCGUGCGGGAAGAAGGCCUUCGGGUUGUAAACCGCUUUUGUCGGGGAAGAAACGGUCUGCGCUAAUACCGCGGACUAAUGACGGUACCCGAAGAAUAAGCACCGGCUAACUACGUGCCAGCAGCCGCAGUAA
RNAcentral lists this ribosomal RNA (498 nucleotides) under uncultured bacterium. Its description in RNAcentral is "partial 16S ribosomal RNA". It matches the Rfam family "Bacterial small subunit ribosomal RNA", at positions 29 to 523 of the family's 1533-position model. The record is from RNAcentral.